RNAcentral lists this ribosomal RNA (1418 nucleotides) under Escherichia coli. RNAcentral's name for it is "partial 23S ribosomal RNA". It matches the Rfam family "Bacterial large subunit ribosomal RNA", at positions 323 to 1746 of the family's 2925-position model. The record is from RNAcentral. Lineage: Bacteria; Pseudomonadati; Pseudomonadota; Gammaproteobacteria; Enterobacterales; Enterobacteriaceae.
UGUGUGUUAGUGGAAGCGUCUGGAAAGGCGCGCGAUACAGGGUGACAGCCCCGUACACAAAAAUGCACAUGCUGUGAGCUCGAUGAGUAGGGCGGGACACGUGGUAUCCUGUCUGAAUAUGGGGGGACCAUCCUCCAAGGCUAAAUACUCCUGACUGACCGAUAGUGAACCAGUACCGUGAGGGAAAGGCGAAAAGAACCCCGGCGAGGGGAGUGAAAAAGAACCUGAAACCGUGUACGUACAAGCAGUGGGAGCACGCUUAGGCGUGUGACUGCGUACCUUUUGUAUAAUGGGUCAGCGACUUAUAUUCUGUAGCAAGGUUAACCGAAUAGGGGAGCCGAAGGGAAACCGAGUCUUAACUGGGCGUUAAGUUGCAGGGUAUAGACCCGAAACCCGGUGAUCUAGCCAUGGGCAGGUUGAAGGUUGGGUAACACUAACUGGAGGACCGAACCGACUAAUGUUGAAAAAUUAGCGGAUGACUUGUGGCUGGGGGUGAAAGGCCAAUCAAACCGGGAGAUAGCUGGUUCUCCCCGAAAGCUAUUUAGGUAGCGCCUCGUGAAUUCAUCUCCGGGGGUAGAGCACUGUUUCGGCAAGGGGGUCAUCCCGACUUACCAACCCGAUGCAAACUGCGAAUACCGGAGAAUGUUAUCACGGGAGACACACGGCGGGUGCUAACGUCCGUCGUGAAGAGGGAAACAACCCAGACCGCCAGCUAAGGUCCCAAAGUCAUGGUUAAGUGGGAAACGAUGUGGGAAGGCCCAGACAGCCAGGAUGUUGGCUUAGAAGCAGCCAUCAUUUAAAGAAAGCGUAAUAGCUCACUGGUCGAGUCGGCCUGCGCGGAAGAUGUAACGGGGCUAAACCAUGCACCGAAGCUGCGGCAGCGACGCUUAUGCGUUGUUGGGUAGGGGAGCGUUCUGUAAGCCUGUGAAGGUGUACUGUGAGGUAUGCUGGAGGUAUCAGAAGUGCGAAUGCUGACAUAAGUAACGAUAAAGCGGGUGAAAAGCCCGCUCGCCGGAAGACCAAGGGUUCCUGUCCAACGUUAAUCGGGGCAGGGUGAGUCGACCCCUAAGGCGAGGCCGAAAGGCGUAGUCGAUGGGAAACAGGUUAAUAUUCCUGUACUUGGUGUUACUGCGAAGGGGGGACGGAGAAGGCUAUGUUGGCCGGGCGACGGUUGUCCCGGUUUAAGCGUGUAGGCUGGUUUUCCAGGCAAAUCCGGAAAAUCAAGGCUGAGGCGUGAUGACGAGGCACUACGGUGCUGAAGCAACAAAUGCCCUGCUUCCAGGAAAAGCCUCUAAGCAUCAGGUAACAUCAAAUCGUACCCCAAACCGACACAGGUGGUCAGGUAGAGAAUACCAAGGCGCUUGAGAGAACUCGGGUGAAGGAACUAGGCAAAAUGGUGCCGUAACUUCGGGAGAAGG